Molecule: ribosomal RNA, 198 nt
Filed under: uncultured bacterium
Lineage: Bacteria
Description: partial 16S ribosomal RNA
Rfam family: Bacterial small subunit ribosomal RNA
Source: RNAcentral
ACGCUCGACACCUACGGGAGACAGCAGUGGGGAAUAUUGCACAAUGGGGGAAACCCUGAUGCAGCGACGCCGCGUGAGCGAAGAAGUAUUUCGGUAUGUAAAGCUCUAUCAGCAGGGAAGAUCAUGACGGUACCUGACUAAGAAGCUCCGGCUAAAUACGUGCCAGCAGCCGCGGUAAUCUGAGCGGGCUGGCAAGGC